AAGCGUUGUACAUCACAUUGGUAAGAUCUGAGACAUGGCUUGCUAAGGACUUGCAUUAUUACAGGCUAUAAUAAUAGGCUAAUGAAGACGUAAUUUAGUUGGAGCUGUUAUUACCACUGGGAGACCAGGCCCUGCUGCAGAAAUGAUUGGGGCACCUUCACUAAAUAAAAUAAGGUAAAACAAUUUAAAGUGAUGUGGCUGACAGAGGCUUAGCAGAGGCUCACUGGUUGAGCUGAGUUAAACAAAGGGCACAACAUUUUGUAGGUGUC
Non-coding RNA from Pelobates cultripes (western spadefoot toad), 269 nucleotides. The record is from the annotation of a GenBank genome assembly. NCBI's taxonomy places the organism in Eukaryota, Metazoa, Chordata, Amphibia, Anura, Pelobatidae.